This 468-nucleotide ribosomal RNA is filed under the name uncultured bacterium. RNAcentral's name for it is "partial 16S ribosomal RNA". It matches the Rfam family "Bacterial small subunit ribosomal RNA", at positions 28 to 507 of the family's 1533-position model. The record is from RNAcentral.
GAUGAACGCUGGCGGCGUGCCUAACACAUGCAAGUCGAACGGAAAGGCCCGGCGCUUGUGGGGUGCUCGAGUGGCGAACGGGUGAGUAACACGUGAGUAACAUGUCCUUGUCUUUGGGAUAACUUCAGGAAACUGGGGCGAAUAUCCGGUAGGAGCUCCUGCUGCAUGGUGUGGGAUGGUAAGUUACGGCGGUGGGGGAUCGGAUCGAGGCUUAUCAGCUUGUUGGUGGGGUAGUGGCUUACCAAGGCUUUGACGGGUAGCCGGCGUUGGAGCUUGACCAGCGACAUGGGGACUAAGGGACGGCCCAGUCUCCUACCGGACGCAGCAGGGGAGAACAUUGCGCAGUGGGCCGGAGUCUGAUGCUGAGACGCCGCGUGCGGAAAGCCGUCCUUCUGGUUGUAAACCGCUUUCGCCUUUGACGAAGCGUGAGUGACGGUAACGGAUAAGAAAGCACCGGCUAACUACGUG